GCUUGCGUUUGUCCGGUGGCGGAACCGGGGCGCUGCGGACGCCCUCGUUAAUGGAUAGUUCUGAGUCAUCGCGCCGGCU
RNAcentral lists this transfer RNA (79 nucleotides) under Burkholderia vietnamiensis. RNAcentral describes it as "tRNA-Arg". Lineage: Bacteria; Pseudomonadati; Pseudomonadota; Betaproteobacteria; Burkholderiales; Burkholderiaceae. The record is from RNAcentral.